Molecule: long non-coding RNA, 1697 nt
Organism: Sarcophilus harrisii (Tasmanian devil)
Lineage: Eukaryota; Metazoa; Chordata; Mammalia; Dasyuromorphia; Dasyuridae
Exons: 2
Source: RefSeq, a predicted model, not a curated record
GGGGACUGCCACAGGGUCCGGAGAAGUGGAUUGUGGGACUCCCAGGGUUUGUGGUCUAACUCCAUAGACCAACUGUUUAGAGAGCGUCCCCGACGCCCAACAUGGGAGGCCGAGGUGCGGACGCCGAGCCCGGGGGCUUCCCCGCCUCCCAGACUUGGGCCGGGUCCAAGCCUUUGUUAUUUGGUCCUGGGAGACAGAACCAAAAGCAGAGGUGGGGGGGGGGGGGCUUAGGGCCGGGGACGGGCAGACCCGGGGCCUUCCGGUCACUGAGUCCUCCCCCCACGGGUGCCCGGGGGGGGGGCAGCAGGCCCCAUCCCCCACCCCCUGACACACACGACACCCCAGGCCUGCUGGGCGGGGCACAAUCCGGCCUCAAAACUGGCGAAAACAAUGGAAUCCGUUAGUGCAGCGGCUGCGUGGCCCCGGGCGCCGCCUGACGCAACCACAAAAAUGCUGGAAGCCGCGGGGCUCGGCCGUUAACCCUUGGGACGUGCGGGCCCGGGAAGAGGGGGGGUGGAGGAGGGAAGUGGGGAGGCUCCCCGGGAACGAGCACGGGACGGCGCCUCCGUGGGGAGCCCCAGCUGCCCCCCCCCUCCCCCCCGUCAUCCCGAGGGCACGAGUGGCAAGAGAAGACUCUGCCCCUCCCCCUAAGAGGGAGAGGGCUCUUCCUCCUCAGUGGCCUCUAGAGACACACCUGGAGCCAGCCCCGGGCGGAGUGAGGCUGCUCGGCCCGCUGGAGGUCACUGAAUCCGGGUUCAAGGGACCCCAGAAUAAUUUGCCCAUUAUCCAAGAAUUAGGCUAAAAAUGUUGUGCAGCUGAGGGAAACCUGCGCCCAGGACCCGCUCUGGAGGCCACCGGGGAGCGGGGCCGCAGACUUGGAAGGAAGAGGCUGAGACCGUGGGCACAGGAGCCCGUGGGCACAGGAGCCCAUGGGCACAGGAGCCUGGAGGAGAAGGUCGGAGGGUCCCAGCCCCCUGUAACUGAGGACUAGAGGGGGAAGGGGCUCUCCCGGGGCAGGAAGGGAGGAGGGAGGACGUGGCUCCGGGUCUUUGGACGCCAAAGCCAGGCCUUGUCCCGGCAGAUGGCCUCUGAAGGCCAAGGCUGGCCCGGGAGGGCCUCUUCUUCGCCUGGACUCUGUGCUCAGCCUCUCCCUCAGCUGACCAGCAGCCACAACCACAUGAGCCGGACUCUCCAGAACCAACCACCGGCCCUGCCAUUAUAGGCUCCCCACCGACCCCGCUCCGAGCCUGGCCACUGGGAGGACCAAGGAGGGGCAUUGGAACGGAUGGGCAGCUCCAGGAUGGUGGAGAUGUUGGGGGAACAGCUUCCAGGGCUGAGGAGGAAGAGCAGUAGCGGGGUCAGUGCUGGCACACAGACCCUGCAAAGGGAGCGACCCCGAGGCAAUGGUCCAGACUGGGGGGGGGACAACUAACAGGGGAGCAGGACCCGGUUCUCCAUCCCAGAAGUUGUGAGUCUCUCCUUCCUCAUCCCUGAAAUGUUCCCUGUUGCCAUGAGGAGGGGGAAUAAAGGAGUCAAGAUGGAGGAGCGGUGGUGGCCUGGGGCUGCUGAGGUGGGACAGGUCGGGGCAGCAGGGGCGGGGCCUCUGGCUCUUCUAGGUGAGGCUCCAGCACAGCGGCCCAUUGUGGCCGCCCAGUGGCCUCCCCCCCCCAAGCCUUCCCUCGCCUCCCCCCAUCUAG